UACGAAGGGGGCUAGCGUUGUUCGGAAUAACUGGGCGUAAAGCGCACGUAGGCGGACUUUUAAGUCAGGGGUGAAAUCCCGGGGCUCAACCCCGGAACGGCCUUUGAUACUGGCAGUCUGGAGUCCGGAAGAGGUGAGUGGAAUUGCGAGUGUAGAGGUGAAAUUCGUAGAUAUUCGCAGGAACACCAGUGGCGAAGGCGGCUCACUGGUCCGGUACUGACGCUGAGGUGCGAAAGCGUGGGGAGCAAACAGG
This 253-nucleotide ribosomal RNA is filed under the name uncultured bacterium. RNAcentral describes it as "partial 16S ribosomal RNA". It matches the Rfam family "Bacterial small subunit ribosomal RNA", at positions 524 to 776 of the family's 1533-position model. The record is from RNAcentral.